This 883-nucleotide ribosomal RNA is filed under the name Salmonella enterica. Its description in RNAcentral is "partial 23S ribosomal RNA". It matches the Rfam family "Bacterial large subunit ribosomal RNA", at positions 2051 to 2925 of the family's 2925-position model. Lineage: Bacteria; Pseudomonadati; Pseudomonadota; Gammaproteobacteria; Enterobacterales; Enterobacteriaceae. The record is from RNAcentral.
CUGUGAAGAUGCAGUGUACCCGCGGCAAGACGGAAAGACCCCGUGAACCUUUACUAUAGCUUGACACUGAACAUUGAGCCUUGAUGUGUAGGAUAGGUGGGAGGCUUUGAAGUGUGGACGCCAGUCUGCAUGGAGCCGACCUUGAAAUACCACCCUUUAAUGUUUGAUGUUCUAACGUGGACCCGUUACCCGGGUUGCGGACAGUGUCUGGUGGGUAGUUUGACUGGGGCGGUCUCCUCCUAAAGAGUAACGGAGGAGCACGAAGGUUGGCUAAUCCUGGUCGGACAUCAGGAGGUUAGUGCAAUGGCAUAAGCCAGCUUGACUGCGAGCGUGACGGCGCGAGCAGGUGCGAAAGCAGGUCAUAGUGAUCCGGUGGUUCUGAAUGGAAGGGCCAUCGCUCAACGGAUAAAAGGUACUCCGGGGAUAACAGGCUGAUACCGCCCAAGAGUUCAUAUCGACGGCGGUGUUUGGCACCUCGAUGUCGGCUCAUCACAUCCUGGGGCUGAAGUAGGUCCCAAGGGUAUGGCUGUUCGCCAUUUAAAGUGGUACGCGAGCUGGGUUUAGAACGUCGUGAGACAGUUCGGUCCCUAUCUGCCGUGGGCGCUGGAGAACUGAGGGGGGCUGCUCCUAGUACGAGAGGACCGGAGUGGACGCAUCACUGGUGUUCGGGUUGUCAUGCCAAUGGCACUGCCCGGUAGCUAAAUGCGGAAGAGAUAAGUGCUGAAAGCAUCUAAGCACGAAACUUGCCCCGAGAUGAGUUCUCCCUGAGACUUAGAGUCUCCUGAAGGAACGUUGAAGACGACGACGUUGAUAGGCCGGGUGUGUAAGCGCAGCGAUGCGUUGAGCUAACCGGUACUAAUGAACCGUGAGGCUUAACCUUACA